This 467-nucleotide ribosomal RNA is filed under the name uncultured bacterium. RNAcentral's name for it is "bacterial SSU rRNA". It matches the Rfam family "Bacterial small subunit ribosomal RNA", at positions 197 to 645 of the family's 1533-position model. The record is from RNAcentral.
CGGAGGAAAGUAGGGGAUCGAAAGACCUUGCGCUUUUGGAGCGGCCGAUAUCUGAUUAGCUAGUUGGUAAGGUAAAAGCUUACCAAGGCGACGAUCAGUAGUUGGUCUGAGAGGACGACCAGCCACACUGGGACUGAGACACGGCCCAGACUCCUACGGGAGGCAGCAGUGGGGAAUUUUGGACAAUGGGCGCAAGCCUGAUCCAGCAAUGCCGCGUGAGUGAAGAGGGCCUUCGGGUUGUAAAGCUCUUUCAGUUGAGAAGAAAAGAUUGUGACUAAUAAUUGCAAUUCAUGACGGUAUCAAUAGAAGAAGCACCGGCUAACUACGUGCCAGCAGCCGCGGUAAUACGUAGGGUGCGAGCGUUAAUCGGAAUUACUGGGCGUAAAGCGUGCGCAGGCGGUUUUGUAAGACAGGCGUGAAAUCCCCGGGCUCAACCUGGGAACUGCGUUUGAAACUACAAAGCUAGA